UAACUGCGAGUGAAGCGGGAAAAGCUCAAAUUUAAAAUCUGGCGGUCCUUGGCUGUCCGAGUUGUAAUUUAGAGAAGCGUCUUCCGCGUCGGACCGUGCACAAGUCUCCUGGAAUGGAGCGUCGUAGAGGGUGAGAAUCCCGUCUUUGGCACGGAUGCCCGGUGCUUCUGUGAUGCGCUCUCAAAGAGUCGAGUUGUUUGGGAAUGCAGCUCAAAAUGGGUGGUGAACUCCAUCUAAAGCUAAAUAUUGGCGAGAGACCGAUAGCGAACAAGUACCGUGAGGGAAAGAUGAAAAGCACUUUGGAAAGAGAGUGAAACAGUACGUGAAAUUGUUGAAAGGGAAACGCUUGAAGUCAGUCGCGUCGUCCGAGACUCAGCCUUGCCUCGGCUUGGUGUACUUCUCGGCUCGACGGGUCAGCAUGAAUUUUGCACCUCGGAUAAUGGCAAGGGAAAGGUGGCACCUUCGCGGGUGUGUUAUAGUCUCGUGUCGCAUGCGAGGGGUGAGAUUGAGGAACUCAGCGUGCGCCUUUUGGUGUCGGGGCUUCGGCCCACGUAACGCGCUUAGGAUGCUGGCGUAAUGGCUUUAAACGACCCGUCUUGAAACACGGACCAAGGAGUCCAACAUGCGCGCGAGUGUUUGGGUGGAAAACCCGUACGCGUAAUCAAAGUGAAAGUUGGGACCUCUGUCGUGGAGGGCACCGACGCCCGGACCAGACCUUCUGUGACGGAUCUGCGGUAGAGCGUGUAUGUUGGGACCCGAAAGAUGGUGAACUAUGCCUGAAUAGGGUGAAGCCAGAGGAAACUCUGGUGGAGGCUCGUAGCGAUUCUGACGUGCAAAUCGAUCGUCAAAUUUGGGUAUA
This 859-nucleotide ribosomal RNA is filed under the name Lactarius aff. lignyotus EIU A.S. Methven 9866. RNAcentral describes it as "eukaryotic LSU rRNA". It matches the Rfam family "Eukaryotic large subunit ribosomal RNA", at positions 84 to 919 of the family's 3401-position model. The record is from RNAcentral. Lineage: Eukaryota; Fungi; Basidiomycota; Agaricomycetes; Russulales; Russulaceae.